Molecule: ribosomal RNA, 216 nt
Filed under: Glomeromycotina sp.
Lineage: Eukaryota; Fungi; Glomeromycota
Description: partial small subunit ribosomal RNA
Rfam family: Eukaryotic small subunit ribosomal RNA (bases 40-216)
Source: RNAcentral
GGGUCAGUAGGUUGGUCGUGCCACCGGUACGUACUGGUCUCACUGAUUCCUCCUUCCUGAAGAACCGUAAUGCCAUUAAUUUGGUGUUGCGGGGAAACAGGACUGUUACUUUGAGAAAAUUAGAGUGUUUAAAGCAAGCUAACGCUUGAAUACAUUAGCAUGGAAUAAUGAAAUAGGACGAUCGAUCCUAUUUUGUUGGUUCCUAGGAUUGACGUA